AUUGAACGCUGGCGGCAUGCCUUACACAUGCAAGUCGAACGGUAACGGGCCUUCGGGUGCCGACGAGUGGCGAACGGGUGCGUAAUACAUCGGAACGCGCCCGAUCGUGGGGGAUAACGAGGCGAAAGCUUUGCUAAUACCCCCUACGACCUCCGGCUAACUUCAGGGGACCGCAAGGCCUCGCGCGACCGGGCCGGCCGAUGGCAGAUUAGGUAGUUGUCGGGAUAAAAGCUUACCAAGCCGACGAUCUGUAGCUGGUCUGAGAGGAUGAUCAGCCACACUGGGACUGAGACACGGCCCAGACUCCUACGGGAGGCAGCAGUGGGGAAUUUUGGACAAUGGGCGCAAGCCUGAUCCAGCCAUGCCGCGUGGAGGAUGAAGGCCUUCGGGUUGUAAAGUGCUUUUGUACGGAACGAAAAGCCUUCUUUUAAUACAGGAGGGUCAUGACGGUACCGAAAGAAUAAGCACCGGCUAACUACGUG
Molecule: ribosomal RNA, 482 nt
Filed under: uncultured bacterium
Lineage: Bacteria
Description: partial 16S ribosomal RNA
Rfam family: Bacterial small subunit ribosomal RNA
Source: RNAcentral